This 893-nucleotide ribosomal RNA is filed under the name methanogenic prokaryote enrichment culture B31_2_41. RNAcentral describes it as "bacterial SSU rRNA". It matches the Rfam family "Bacterial small subunit ribosomal RNA", at positions 8 to 916 of the family's 1533-position model. The record is from RNAcentral.
AGAGUUUGAUCCUGGCUCAGGACGAACGCUGGCGGCGUGCCUAACACAUGCAAGUCGAGCGGGGAGAAGAAUUCGUUUUUCUCUUUAGCGGCGGACGGGUGAGUAACACGUGGGUAACCUGCCUCAAAGUGGGGGAUAGCCUUCCGAAAGGAAGAUUAAUACCGCAUAAUAUCAUAGCGCUGCAUGGUGCUGUGAUCAAAGGAGCAAUCCGCUUUGAGAUGGACCCGCGGCGCAUUAGCUAGUUGGUGAGGUAACGGCCCACCAAGGCGACGAUGCGUAGCCGACCUGAGAGGGUGAUCGGCCACAUUGGAACUGAGACACGGUCCAGACUCCUACGGGAGGCAGCAGUGGGGAAUAUUGCACAAUGGGGGAAACCCUGAUGCAGCAACGCCGCGUGAGUGAUGAAGGCCUUCGGGUCGUAAAGCUCUUUGAUCAGGGACGAUAAUGACGGUACCUGAAAAACAAGCCACGGCUAACUACGUGCCAGCAGCCGCGGUAAUACGUAGGUGGCGAGCGUUGUCCGGAUUUACUGGGCGUAAAGAAUGCGUAGGUGGAUAUUUAAGUGGGAUGUGAAAUCCCCGGGCUCAACCCGGGAACUGCAUACCAAACUGGAUAUCUGGAGUGCAGGAGAGGAAAGCGGAAUUCCUAGUGUAGCGGUGAAAUGCGUAGAUAUUAGGAGGAACACCAGUGGCGAAGGCGGCUUUCUGGACUGUAACUGACACUGAGGCAUGAAAGCGUGGGGAGCAAACAGGAUUAGAUACCCUGGUAGUCCACGCCGUAAACUAUGGGUACUAGGUGUAGGGGGUAUCGACUCCCCCUGUGCCGCCGUUAACACAAUAAGUACCCCGCCUGGGGAGUACGGUCGCAAGACUAAAACUCAAAGGAAUUGACGG